CCUACGGGUGGCUGCAGUGGGGAAUAUUGCACAAUGGGCGCAAGCCUGAUGCAGCCAUGCCGCGUGUGUGAAGAAGGCCUUCGGGUUGUAAAGCACUUUCAGCGGGGAGGAAGGCGGUGAGGUUAAUAACCUCAUCGAUUGACGUUACCCGCAGAAGAAGCACCGGCUAACUCCGUGCCAGCAGCCGCGGUAAUACGGAGGGUGCAAGCGUUAAUCGGAAUUACUGGGCGUAAAGCGCACGCAGGCGGUCUGUCAAGUCGGAUGUGAAAUCCCCGGGCUCAACCUGGGAACUGCAUUCGAAACUGGCAGGCUAGAGUCUUGUAGAGGGGGGUAGAAUUCCAGGCGUAGCGGUGAAAUGCGUAGAGAUCUGGAGGAAUACCGGUGGCGAAGGCGGCCCCCUGGACAAAGACUGACGCUCAGGUGCGAAAGCGUGGGGAGCAAACAGGAUUAGAUACCCGAGUAGUC
This 465-nucleotide ribosomal RNA is filed under the name uncultured Klebsiella sp. RNAcentral describes it as "bacterial SSU rRNA". It matches the Rfam family "Bacterial small subunit ribosomal RNA", at positions 338 to 795 of the family's 1533-position model. The record is from RNAcentral. Lineage: Bacteria; Pseudomonadati; Pseudomonadota; Gammaproteobacteria; Enterobacterales; Enterobacteriaceae.